UGAAUACGAGAUGCUACGGCGUCGAAGCAGUCUAUGUCAUACUUCCAAGAAAAGCUUGCACUGUCAUAAACAAAUAAUGCCUGUACCAUAACCGACACAGGUGGGUAGGUAGAGUAUACUAAGGGGCGCGAGAUAACUCUCUCUAAGGAACUCGGCAAAAUGACUCCGUAACUUCGGGAGAAGGAGUGCCUUAUUUAUAAGGUUGCAAUAACAAGACCCAAGCAACUGUUUAUCAAAAACACAGGUCUCCGCUAAGUCGUAAGACGAUGUAUGGGGGCUGACGCCUGCCCAGUGCCAGAAGGUUAAAGAAGUUGGUUAGCAUUAGCGAAGCUGAUGACUGAAGCCCUGGUGAACGGCGGCCGUAACCAUAACGGUCCUAAGGUAGCGAAAUUCCUUGUCGGGUAAGUUCCGACCCGCACGAAAGGCGUAAUGAUUUGGGUACUGUCUCAGAGAGGGACUCGGUGAAAUAGACUUGUCUGUGAAGAUGCGGACUACCUGCACCUGGACAGAAAGACCCUAUGAAGCUUUACUGUAACCUGAAAUUGAAAUUGGACUUUAUUUGCGCAGUAUAGGUGGGAGGCUUUGAAGAUAUUCUUGCGGGAAUGUUGGAGCCAUCAGUGAGAUACCACUCUUGUAAUGUUAGAUUUCUAACUUUGUAUCAUUAUCUGGUCAAAGAACAGUUUCAGGCGGGCAGUUUGACUGGGGCGGUCGCCUCCUAAACGGUAACGGAGGCGCACAAAGGUUUCCUCUGAACGGGUAGAAAUCGUAUCUAGAGUGUAAAGGCAUAAGGAAGCUUGACUGUGAGACCUACAAGUCGAGCAGGGACGAAAGUCGGUCUUAGUGAUCUGACGGUGCUGAGUGGAAAGGCCGUCACUCAACGGAUAAAAGUUACUCUAGGAUAACAGGCUGAUCUCCCCCAAGAGUUCACAUCGACGGGGAGGUUUGGCACCUCGAUGUCGGCUCAUCGCAUCCUGGGGCGGUAGUACGUCCCAAGGGUUGGGCUGUUCGCCCAUGAAAGCGGUACGCGAGCUGGGUUCAGAACGUCGUGAGACAGUUCGGUCCAUAUCCGGUGUAGGCGUUAGAAUAUUGAGAGGAGCCUUCUCUAGUACGAGAGGACCGAGAAGGACACACCUCUGGUGUACCAGUUAUCGUGCCAACGGUAAACGCUGGGUAGCUAUGUGUGGAGCGGAUAACCGCUGAAAGUAUCUAAGUGGGAAGCCCACCUCAAGAUAAGUA
Molecule: ribosomal RNA, 1236 nt
Filed under: metagenome
Description: bacterial LSU rRNA
Rfam family: Bacterial large subunit ribosomal RNA
Source: RNAcentral